RNAcentral lists this long non-coding RNA (1116 nucleotides) under Felis catus (domestic cat). RNAcentral describes it as "lncRNA (ENSFCAG00000048775.1)". The record is from RNAcentral. Lineage: Eukaryota; Metazoa; Chordata; Mammalia; Carnivora; Felidae.
GUGAAAUGGCCAGAGAUUAGGACUCAGCAACCGUCACUAUGAAAACACUAUUAAAACCAGAGCUGGUUAUGUUAACAGUUUGGUUAGGGCAAAGUUGUAAUAAGCAUCCUGGCAAUAAAUUCAUUUGUUAAUUCCAGGAGAACUUUGGGAUCAGCUGUCUGUGCCAGGCAUUGGGCCCACAUGCUUCAUCCUUAUGGGCUCUCCAGUGGUCCACUUGCAGGAUCCACCCACUCCCCAGGCUGAACCCCUGUGAGAUGGAACCUCCUAGUGACUUGGCUCAUGGUCAUGAGACAUGACCACAGAGUUAGAUUUACUGUGAACAGGCUCCUGGGCUCAGUGUCCAAGGGCCUGUGCUGGUCGCCCUCGUCUGCCCCUUUCCAGCUGCGCGGCUUGAGGCCUCUCUGAGCCUCCAUUUCAACGGAGAACAUUCAUCCAGUCCAUGUCGUAGGCUGGUUGCGAGGCACACACAAGAUAAAAUGUGAAAUCUUUGAAACCCAUCAGAUGCCCGGUAAAAGCGCGUUUUUAGAGUAGGUGAAGGGCACAGGUUUUUGGAGUCAGACAACCAGCGUUCACCGGCGGGAAGAUCGUUGACAAGAAACUUCCCGGGUCUGAGCCUCAGUUUCCUUCUACGUAAUGGAGGCGGCAGCACCUUCACAAGUCUGCGGGGAGGUGCGGCUGAGACGGUGCACACACAGCAGCCCGCGGGGAGUGCGCGAUCGGUAGCAAAUUCUCCCGGCAGCGCCAUCUCCCUGAGUCAUGCAGGGCCCGCCGGGACGCGGCUGCAGGAAACCGGGCGGGACAGCGCCGCCUCCCACACGGCCCGCGGGGGCGCCCGGCACCGCCCGCCGAGCAAGGCGCCGCCGCAGCCCAGGAACAAAGGAAGAAUGGAGCUUCCUAAAUCUUAGGAUCUACAAUUAUGCCACCGGAUCUAAAGGGAAAGGGGAAAAUGAAGGCGCAAGUCGCUGUUUCUGUUUAUUCAGAUUCUUCGGAGGACACUGGCUUCACACAAGGAAGCACCCUGAGAAUCACAGUGAGCCACGGUGUGGACUAAGACUCAGGGCCCAGGGCUCAGAGCUUUCAGUGUGUGGCCUGGGGAAAGCUGCAGCACUUCUCUGA